Molecule: ribosomal RNA, 3789 nt
Filed under: Triticum aestivum (bread wheat)
Lineage: Eukaryota; Viridiplantae; Streptophyta; Magnoliopsida; Poales; Poaceae
Description: partial small subunit ribosomal RNA
Source: RNAcentral
CUCCCCGAGGACGAUUUUGGUACACCUGUUCGGGUGGUUCGGCUGGUUCGGGUCGCCACAACGGAGUAGAAGAGCGAAUAAUGAAAGAGACAGUUUUUCUGUUAAGAGCCAAGUAGGGGAAGCCGCCGGCUGACGCUGCCGGUGUCGCUGCGGUACGCACGGGGGCGUAGAGGAAGGCGGAGUGGCCGUGGACUGGGGACGGAAGACGCCUCGAUGCGGCAGCUGAGGAACGUCUCCACGCUGAGCAGCGACCUUUGGAGCAGGGGUAUGGUCUCCUCUCCGUGGUCCUGCACGCGCGCUCGGGUGCCAGGUCUAACUACCUGCUCCCUCGCCACCCACGACGCGCGGGUGAGCGGGUCGGGCAGCCGGGACCCUCCGCCACGCCGACGGUAGAAGGAGGACGGAGGGACGAACGAGGUUCUUGGGAGUCUCCUUCCCCUCUUUUCCACCUUUAUUAGUUCUAGUACCUAUAAAAAUCUGCACCAUACAGACACCACAGGUUCAGAGUUUAGAGUCAACCGACAAAAUAACACUAAAAAACCUUAUAAAAGAUGUGAGAUAAAAGAUAGAUUAGUUUCUCUGUAUGAGACACAUGUCUAUAACAAUUCACCCAAUAGGAACUCCGGUGUUUUUUCCCUACCGGCGUAUUUAAGUCAAAACACCGACGACGUAUCGUGUGAAAAAAAAAAAACUCUUUGUAUCGUGUGAAAAAAAAACUCCGGUGUUUUUUCCCUACCGGCGUAUUUAAACUACACACCUGUCAAUCACCUCAGGGGACCGCCGCUGUGAACGUAAGACUGAAUGCCUAUGGUGCUUCUUGAACCGUUCUACCCUAAACUACUCUCUUUAGUGGCUCACGAAGUAGGCCCUGACGAUCCCCAAGUUACCUUUGUUGGAGCCCUUAGUACCAAGCAACGACCCUACGAUAACGACCGAAGACAACCUCCUUAGAAGAAGCGCGGGAAGAACUCGUUAUACUUUUCUCUAACGAAGAGGUGAACUACGGGAGUCACACCAUCCGUCGCAACCAAAGAAACCAGCCAAACCCAGAAGAUUCAGCCGACACAUUAUAAAAGGUGUAACCACAAGGUAACACUGUGACUUCACGCAUGUUUUAAUCAGGGUACAUAAAGUACGUCGAUCCAAAAUACUUUAUGAGGGAGGCAGAUUGUAAAACCCUGCCUCCCUCAUGAUACUUUCAUACGGGUCUAAGUAUUACGCUACGUGUUGGAGGUACAAAAUACAUUACUUUAUAGGUACAUCGUACCAUUUGAGGGUGUCACGACGAAGUAUCGGUCAAUCGAUGGUUUCUAGGACAUUUGUCAGUCGUAGUGGAUCAGCUUUCCGACCGGGGAGCGGGGUACUCUCCUAAUUAAGGACCGGUACAUUUUAACACCACGUACGAAGUAGGUUCGUUCGUCAUAGGACGUGGUGUCGUUAUCUCUAUUCCACGAAGUAGGUUCGUUCGUCAUAGGACGUGGUGUUGUUAUCUCUAUUCCCAAUACCGAUAAAUAUAAAAGAUUGUCAGAAAUCAGGGGAUAAGGAAAGAAACGAACGUCAAACCCGAACCAGAUUAGUAGUACAUGUAUUAGAUCUGAAGAUCUAGCCGUCUGACCGCAAGAGAUCCUGUCUAACCACCAUUUUUUUCUCAACGGCCCUCGAGUAAAAUCGUUUGACCUCGCUCACGUCGAUACCAAUUACUAUGACUAUGGACGUACUACAACUUCUUACUCCGGGUAGAGCUACGUUCCCCUCAUAUGGCAAUACGUUCUUUGAACACCCCCACGGUACAAUAGGCGUAGCUGUGUGAACAUAAUGAGUUACGUAACCAGAUGGAUAAGGAACCGUGAAAACCCAGGGUUGCGGCGGCGAGGUCUUUGACCAAGUAGGUUUUUCCAUGGAACCAGCGUUUGUGAAACAGGAAGUAUGACCCUUGUAUGUGCGAGCCAAGAUACGUUAGAAGGUUCCACUUCUUAUCGUACAUGAUGAUGGAGGCAGAUCCACUUAUUCAGUAAGUGCAUCAAGAUCCAGUAACUAAACUCUUUAAUUUAUACACAAUAUACAGUACUUUUCAUAUAGUGAUCUAAAGAUGUGUCUACAUCAAAGAUUUAUAUAUGAAAAAUAGUGUAUAUUAUGUAUAAAUCUAUCAAUUUAACAGCUGGAUCUUGAUGCGCUUACUGAAUGAGUGGCUCUGUCUCCAUCAUGGGGCAAACCCGGAGUUAAGAGAAGUAGGAAGUACCUACAUGGUUGUGUCGAAUAUCCUCAGUUAACGUUUUUUGGUGGUGUAAACGCCGAUCCAAACGUCCUUUGGUGGUUGAGCAAUUAAGUAACGUCUUUUAUGGCCUUUUAGACAAUUCAGCAACGUUUUUCGUGACUAGCCUACUAAACCGGACAAAUUAGUAACUGUAUCUGUUCUAUACCAACACGUUACUGUCAAGUGACCUGGUUCUAGAUUUCCUAUGCACGGAAAGGAAGAGAGAAAAAGUAGACAACUCCUCCGCGAUGAAACCCAAAUGGACACCACUUAGGUUUCUUUCCCGUGUACUAAAGCAGAAGUUCCCCGACGAUGCCCUCUUACUUCUUCCGUGGUGUUUGACGUUGGCCCGAAAAUCCAACUAACUCUAACUCAAUCGGAAAUACAUACUAAAGAAGAAGUGGUGUAGACGACGGUAAAUAAUACGUAGUUGCCGGCGUUGUCAAAGUGGGAACUAAAGAAGGAAAAAUGAUACAGACAGUUAUGUUACCUAUAAGCAGACCCUUGGUAGCGAGUAUGUUCUUCCACUUUACUUCUAGUGAUUAUGUCAAUGGUGGAAUAAGUAUGAACGUAGACGACGAAACGAACUUAACGAAGCUGACGACGAAAUGACCUGACCGUAAACCUCGUCCCACAGGAAACAGACAGUCAUAGAGUCUCUUGUUUGUUCUAACUCGUGUUCCCCUUCGACGACGAGGACGAGGAAGAGAACGACGACGACGACGUACGACGAUUUUAACUUUCCCGAAGAACGAUCUUAACCACACGUAACGAGUGGUUUGUUUGUGAUAACCGUCGUGUUCGAACCCGUCAUAAGAAAUGAACUAAUGGCAGGAUGGAAGACACCGUUCUAGUUCCUUACAAACCCAUUUCAUUGUCUUCAUGUACGUCGGUGUAUACAUAACGGAAAGGAGGUAGGUUAACUGUUUGUGUGCGCCUCCCAGGCAGUUUUUAAACCCUUUAGAUAUCUCAAUUGGCGUGUUCAUGUAUUCCGUUAAUAAAUGAGGGAGUUUGCUAGGUUACCACUUGACUGCUUACCUUUUAGUAGUGAUCACAGGUUGUCUCGUCCCGUGGAAAAUACCCGAACACUUGCCCCGCACGUGAGUCUUAGCCUGUGUUCGACGUAGUAAGACUGAACGUGUAACGUUGUACCAUGACGCUCUCUCCCUGCGAACCUACACCGGGAGCGGGCCUACUCCCUUGGCUCGAGUUCUAGGUAGAACCACAACGGUGUUUCGACAGCUUUAUGACGCGUAUGGAAGACCAGAGGCGUGGUUUUGAAGAAGGUCCCGUGCUUAUACUAUGUUCAGCACACAAGCUACGUCACCGUCCCCUCCGGUUCUCUAAAGACGGUAUACCCUCCCUAUUUAUAGUUCGUGACUUCCUAAUACCUCUCCUUCUCAGUCUCCGAUGGUAGAACGUCUCACCGCGAUUCGACCCGUUCGUCGAACGCCUCUAUCUUCUACAAUGGUCCGCAACCUUCCACGAUCGACUAAAGACCAGACUCUACGACGAGAUGUAACGCGGUAGUCUAU